Molecule: long non-coding RNA, 1920 nt
Filed under: Androctonus crassicauda
Lineage: Eukaryota; Metazoa; Arthropoda; Arachnida; Scorpiones; Buthidae
Source: RNAcentral
UACCUACACAUAGUCGGCGCUCUCGAUAUUAAAAAUCAAAAAAAGCAACAGAAGAAAAAAAAAAAAAAAAAAAUACCUAAUUGCAUACGUUUAUUGCUGCUCUGAAGAGGAAACCGCCAGCAGGUGUUCUUCUCCGAGAUAAUUCAGUGCUUAAAUAACUUCUCGCGUAAAAUUAUGUUUUAGAAAAUUAAUUACGUCCUCGUACUGCUUUAACGAUCUGUAAAAGAAUAGCCAUUCCGAUCGAAUUUUGGAUUCCCGCGUGGUAAGCUACGAGAGGAGAAAUUUGACUUCUUUACAAAUCAAAAAUGGGGAUGGAAACGUUCCCAACAUCCUGGAGCAUCCCGUAACUUCAUCCGAUAGGACUAGGCUGGGGUUAUAUGCGACUGCCACUCUAGCCAAUUAAUAAAGGGAAUCCCCGUCAGUCGAGAUGCACGGUAGCGUGCCUGAGGUCGGAUGGGGUCAGUCGACCCAACCACUUCGAUCAUCGACGGGGGUGCGGGUUUUCGACAAAGAGCCUUUCUCUUUAUUUCCAUUUUCGUACUGUUGCAAUGUUAAAAUAUAGUCAAUCAAGUAACAGAGUGUAACUUAUCCUCGGGCUGUUUACAGUCUGAUAUGUCACCAGUUAUGUAUUCAAACAGGUGUUCGACAUCUUCACGCGAAAUCAUAACAGGUUAUUUUAUUGCAUUUCGUGCCUGGUAAUUAUCCGAGGUUUUCCAAUCCUCUGGAAACUGCAAUCCGGACCGGGCUCGCUAACAUUAUUAUAUAUAUUUUUUUAACAAAUAAUAAACAAGAUAGUAUUAAUUAUUUGCUCAAAUUGACGAUUUAGAGAACUUAUGGGUCAAAUGACUGGCGUACUUAUUAUCCGAACUCGCGAGCGUAGCCAUGAAAAGGGGGAAACUCUCUUCCGCCCCCCGCAUCCGUCACGCUCCGCGAGAUCAAUUCGUAUCCGUGGAGGAAAUGGGGGUCGGAAGAGCGCAGAUAAUCUGGAAUGUACAAUUUUUGACACAAAAAUGAUGGAGCGUAUCACUCCAGAUCAUUGCCCACUUUAAAUCCUUAUUCCAACUUCCCUUGGGUCUUUUUUAGUUUUCUUUUUUUUUCGUAGGUAAUCUGGAAGGAUUUACUGUUAAAAGUUGCAGCCUAACUUUAUCCAGUGUCAAAAAAAUCGUCCAAUUGUUUUCUCACCACUUGACGUGUCUAGCCUCCUUUUCGUCUCACGCUAUCUUCGAUGACCCUAUAGAGCAUCCGUGGUCACAACUCCAUUAAAUCUACUUGCGUGCGCAAAACAAGGGUUAUGAAAAAAAAAAAAAAGGUUUAGUUCCUGAACUGCAUGAUUAUCUGUUUUCUCCCAAUAUUGUUGGAUUAAAAUGAUACAAUGUUUUGAGCAUUAUAUUAAUAUUUAUAUGGAAUAUAGCUCUAUAGUGCAAAUUGACAAAUCAAUAUGGAUUAGCAAUAUUAUAAUUAAAGUUCGAGUAUCCACAAAAUAUAUUGUGCAAUCAAUUUGUCCAUACCAAACUUCCUACAAUAACACUUAGCACUUUAUAAUUUAUUAGGACCUCAAUAAGCUAUAAACACUCUUAUUUUGCAUAGGAUCACUAACAUAUCGAUUUCGUCACCACUUCAUGGUAAUACUAAUAUAAAGUUGAUGCUGUUGACUAAUAAUUGGUUUUAUAAAAAUGUAGGAAGAGAACUUCGAUAGUAUUUAAGUGUGCAAAUGUGAGCCAGGAAAUGUAAACAUCUGAGUAUAUAUAUAUACAAAUUUCAUAUUGUGCAUGUUUUGUAAUAAUUAUAGUAAGAGAAUUAAAAAUGAUCUUGAGCAACUCAGUUAUAAAUGCAAAUAUGCAAAUUUCAUCUCACAAAUAUUAAAAAUUGAUUACUAAUAUUUAUUCAUUAAUAAGUAAAUUUGCAAAUGAGAGAUUACCG